CCUACGGGAGGCAGCAGUGGGGAAUAUUGCACAAUGGGGGAAACCCUGAUGCAGCGACGCCGCGUGAGUGAAGAAGGAUCUCGGUACGUAAAGCUCUAUCAGCAGGGAAGAAAAUGACGGUACCUGACUAAGAAUCCCCGGCUAACUCCGUGCCAGCCGCCGCGGUAAUACGUAGGGGGCAAGCGUUAUCCGGAUUGACUGGGGGUAAAGGGAGCGUAGACGGCAGCACAAGUCUGGAGUGAAAUCCCGGGGCUUAACCCCGGAACUGCUUUGGAAACUGUGCGGCUGGAGUGCAGGAGGGGUAAGCGGAAUGCCUAGUGUAGCGGUGAAAUGCGUAGAUAUUAGGAGGAACACCGGUGGCGAAGGCGGUUUACUGGACUGUAACUGACGUUGAGGCUCGAAAGCGUGGGGAGCAAACAGGAUUAGAUACCCGAGUAGUC
This 440-nucleotide ribosomal RNA is filed under the name uncultured bacterium. RNAcentral describes it as "partial 16S ribosomal RNA". It matches the Rfam family "Bacterial small subunit ribosomal RNA", at positions 338 to 795 of the family's 1533-position model. The record is from RNAcentral.